GGUGCCUUGGCCGAGUGGUUAGGCAGCGGUCUGCAAAACCGCGUACAGCGGUUCAAUUCCGCUAGGCACCUCCA
This 74-nucleotide transfer RNA is filed under the name Candidatus Gracilibacteria bacterium CG17_big_fil_post_rev_8_21_14_2_50_48_13. Its description in RNAcentral is "tRNA-Cys". It matches the Rfam family "tRNA". From Rfam's summary of the family: Transfer RNA (tRNA) molecules are approximately 80 nucleotides in length. Their secondary structure includes four short double-helical elements and three loops (D, anti-codon, and T loops). Further hydrogen bonds mediate the characteristic L-shaped molecular structure. tRNAs have two regions of fundamental functional importance: the anti-codon, which is responsible for specific mRNA codon recognition, and the 3' end, to which the tRNAs corresponding amino acid is attached (by aminoacyl-tRNA synthetases). tRNAs cope with the degeneracy of the genetic code in two manners: having more than one tRNA (with a specific anti-codon) for a particular amino acid; and 'wobble' base-pairing, i.e. permitting non-standard base-pairing at the 3rd anti-codon position. The record is from RNAcentral. Lineage: Bacteria; Candidatus Altimarinota.